AAAACCUUUUGGAAUUUUGAAUGUGU
RNAcentral lists this non-coding RNA (26 nucleotides) under Rattus norvegicus (Norway rat). The record is from RNAcentral. Lineage: Eukaryota; Metazoa; Chordata; Mammalia; Rodentia; Muridae.